Molecule: long non-coding RNA, 1058 nt
Filed under: Salvia miltiorrhiza (redroot sage)
Lineage: Eukaryota; Viridiplantae; Streptophyta; Magnoliopsida; Lamiales; Lamiaceae
Description: long non-coding RNA (SMIL_LNC008815)
Source: RNAcentral
CACGCUUCAGCGCGCCUCCAACUCUCCAGACUCCAAAUUCUCCAACCAUUCCACUUCCACCGUUCACCGGAAUCACCGCGCGUCGUUGAGAUUUUAGGGUCAGCGGUUCAGCGCGCCUCUGCAGUCGCGUCGUCCUUCGUUCGCCUCCGCAUCUGCCGCCAUUUGCCACCACCGACCCGACACCACCUCCAGCCAUCGGUCCGCGUCGUCAGCUCCUCCACUCGCGGCAGUCGGCACUAGGUCCGCCACCACCUCUGGCCGUCGGCUUCUUAAAACCCGUGCUUGCCAUCAAUCAUUCAUAGGUAAUCUCUUCAUCCUUAAUCCUUAAUCUCUAUUCAUAGGUUAUUUACUCAAUUUUUUUUUGUUUCUAUUUUGGAUGAGUUUGUUUUUGAAUGUGGUGGAAUUUGCUGUCAGUUCUUUGCAAGGUCUACUUGAUUUUGCACAGAUGGUUUUGAUUAUGCUUUUAACUGAUUGAGGUCCCUUUAUUUAAAGAUUCCACUCGCUAGCUCUCGUUCUGAUAAAGGAAAAACUGAUACGCCUAAGUAAAAUCAAUUGUGCAGAGAGAGUCACACACACAAAUAUGAUCUAUUCACGUGAAGUCUUCUCGGCAAGUUUGGAUAGAGUCAAUCGGUUCUAACUUCUAAUGGUUUCAAUUCAUCCAUCACAAACUAAUAAUUUUUUAUUAGAGUAAAAAUAUUGAUAGUUUAAAUUAUUUAUAUAUGAGUAUUACGGAUAGUACAGAUUUUUAUGUAUUUAUGUAAAAAUGAUGCCUUGAUCUUGAUAAAGGAAAAAUUAGGAUAAAAUAGUGAAAUGAUUAGUUUAAACUUAGUUUAACCUUUCGUUUAAGUUUAAAUUAAUAAACAUUGGAAUUGUUUGCUUAUUGUUGUAGGUGUUAAAGAUGGUAUACUCAUUUCCAAGUGUUGAUAUGGAGAGUGGUGAAGAUGAUGUCAAAAUUCUUGAAGAUUCCAAGCCUAAGAAGAGACAAAUGAUAAUUUCAUGAAAAUUCUUGGAGGACUCAUCUAUGUAUAUUUUAUACAUUAUAUAUUAGAUUAUUAAGA